AUGCUCACUUUGGCACGGAUACUAAAAUUGGAACCAUACAGGGAUUAGCAUGGCCCCUGCACAAGGAUGACACACAAAUUCAUCAACUGUUCCAUAGUUUU
This 101-nucleotide small nuclear RNA is filed under the name Jaculus jaculus (lesser Egyptian jerboa). The record is from RNAcentral. Lineage: Eukaryota; Metazoa; Chordata; Mammalia; Rodentia; Dipodidae.